GAGGGUAUAGCUCAGUGGUAGAGUGCGUGCUUAGCAUGCAUGAGGUCCUGAGUUAAAUCCCCAGUAUCUCCA
This 72-nucleotide transfer RNA is filed under the name Camelus bactrianus (Bactrian camel). It matches the Rfam family "tRNA". From Rfam's summary of the family: Transfer RNA (tRNA) molecules are approximately 80 nucleotides in length. Their secondary structure includes four short double-helical elements and three loops (D, anti-codon, and T loops). The record is from Rfam by way of RNAcentral. Lineage: Eukaryota; Metazoa; Chordata; Mammalia; Artiodactyla; Camelidae. RNAcentral also lists the same sequence under 2 other names.